RNAcentral lists this transfer RNA (73 nucleotides) under Talaromyces marneffei ATCC 18224. RNAcentral describes it as "tRNA-Trp (CCA) (tRNA-Trp-CCA-1-1)". It matches the Rfam family "tRNA". Rfam says of the family: Transfer RNA (tRNA) molecules are approximately 80 nucleotides in length. Their secondary structure includes four short double-helical elements and three loops (D, anti-codon, and T loops). The record is from RNAcentral. Lineage: Eukaryota; Fungi; Ascomycota; Eurotiomycetes; Eurotiales; Trichocomaceae.
GGCUUGGUGGCGCAAUGGUAGCGCAUCUGAUUCCAGAUCCAGGAGGUUGCCCGUUCGAUCCGGGUCCAGGUCA